This 79-nucleotide transfer RNA is filed under the name Sphaerisporangium rubeum. RNAcentral describes it as "tRNA-OTHER". The record is from RNAcentral. Lineage: Bacteria; Bacillati; Actinomycetota; Actinomycetes; Streptosporangiales; Streptosporangiaceae.
GUCGUUGAGCUGCCUAAACGUGUAGUCCUACGUCCCGGGGGUCAAGGGGUCGCAGGUUCAAAUCCUGUCGUCCCGACCA